CAGCCGCCACGGGAAUACGUAGGUGGCAAGCGUUGUCCGGAAUUAUUGGGCGUAAAGCGCGCGCAGGCGGUUUCUUAAGUCUGAUGUGAGAGCCCCCGGCUUAACCGGGGAGGGUCAUUGGAAACUGGGAGACUUAGAGUGCAGAAGAGGAGAGUGGAAUUCCAUGUGUAGCGGUGAAAUGCGUAGAUAUAUGGAGGAACACCAGUGGCGAAGGCGACUCUCUGGACGAAAACUGACGCUGAGGCGCGAAAGCCAGGGGAGCGAACGGGAUUAGAUACCCGCGUAGUCCCUGUCUCUUAUA
Molecule: ribosomal RNA, 301 nt
Filed under: uncultured bacterium
Lineage: Bacteria
Description: partial 16S ribosomal RNA
Rfam family: Bacterial small subunit ribosomal RNA
Source: RNAcentral